RNAcentral lists this ribosomal RNA (231 nucleotides) under uncultured bacterium. Its description in RNAcentral is "partial 16S ribosomal RNA". It matches the Rfam family "Bacterial small subunit ribosomal RNA", at positions 118 to 350 of the family's 1533-position model. The record is from RNAcentral.
UGGGCAACCUGCCCUCAGCUCUGGGAUAACCCCGGGAAACCGGGGCUAAUACCGGAUACGACCUCCGCGGGCAUCUGCGGAGGUGGAAAGGUUUUCCGGCUGAGGAUGGGCCCGCGGCCUAUCAGCUAGUUGGUGGGGUAACGGCCUACCAAGGCGACGACGGGUAGCUGGUCUGAGAGGACGACCAGUCACACUGGAUCUGAGAUACGGUCCAGACUCCUACGGGAGGCA